This 1312-nucleotide long non-coding RNA is filed under the name Triticum aestivum (bread wheat). RNAcentral describes it as "long non-coding RNA (TAES_LNC015751)". Lineage: Eukaryota; Viridiplantae; Streptophyta; Magnoliopsida; Poales; Poaceae. The record is from RNAcentral.
CGCCGCGACCUCCCAAUACGGAUCUCGAUCCACUUCUUGCACCACCGCACUCUCAAAUCUAGCAUAUCUGGUGGAGGGAGGAUCGAUGGAAACUGAGCUGCCGGGGGAAUCUUGGAAGGUUCUCCCGGACCAUUUCGGGUAUUCUUCUCGUCCACCAUCGUCUCAUCAAAUCAUCCAUCCAUUGUUGUCGCUGCUGCUGCUGUUUUAGUUAAGGUUUCCUUUUCCUCCCCUGUUGCUGUGAUGUUCGUUGCUACUUCCUGUUACGGCCUUGUAAUAGUAGCAAAAGCUGUGUGCACAAAAAGGAUUUUGUACCGCAAGAUUGGUCGAAUAUAGACACGAUAUCCAUUCCGCCAUUGCCUCCCACCGCUGCAAAGGAAAUUUCAUCUGUACAUGUAGCAAACAAGCAGUGCCAUCACAUGAUGAUAUGGCUCCCAUCUUGCCAGGGACAUCUUCCAUUUAUUUUAUCUGUGUUUGCUUAUUAUACUAGUUGCAAGUCGCCGUGGCUCGAUGGAAUUAUUGGAUUGGAUUCUAAAAAUGCUGGUUGGAUAGAGGGGAAUCUCGAAAUAGGAAUCGAAGCAACUUUGUUUUGUUUCUUUCAGCGUUGUAAAGUAAUGAGGGAAAGGUGUUUCCUGAACCUCCUCCUCCUUUUCUGUAUCCUGUUCUUGUUUGCCUUUUCUUCACUCAGCUAAAGAUGGUUUUUGUUUUGGCAACUGGCAUGCGCAUCAGGAUUUCAAUUCAUGUUUACUUUUGUUCCACUUGAUGAAAAUGGACGUCUGCAAUGAAUUUCCUUUGUGAUUAGUUUAGUCAGAGUGAGGGUAAACCUUUCUGAUUAGUUUAAUCAGCCAGGAUAAACCUUAGCAAUCAGUUCAAUCAGGGUGAGGAAAAACCUCAGUGAUUUUAGUAUGAAAACACCUCACAAUCUUCAGUACAGAAAUGCAAGAAGUAUAUGCAGUGAAGAUACAAGCCCACAGCUCAAAACCCAAACCCAAAAGAUACAAGCCCACUUGUGAGCAAAUCACUCGUGUAUUUUGUACUUCUGCUCGGUGCAGUAGUAGUAGCUCAAACAGGCAGUUGCUCUACUGAUCCAGGAGCUUGAGCAGCACUUGGGGCUGCAGCGUCAGGAACUCGGGAAAGGUGUUCCUGAACCUCCUCCUCUGCCUUUUCUGUUUCCAGUUCCGGUUUGCUUUUUCUUCAUCCGGCUAAAGAUGGUUUUUGUUUUGGCAACUGGCAUGCACAUCAUGGAUAUCAAUUCAUGUUUACUUUUGUUCCACUUGUGAAAAUGGACGCCACGACUCAGGAGUGGAUUUCUUUU